Molecule: ribosomal RNA, 492 nt
Filed under: uncultured bacterium
Lineage: Bacteria
Description: partial 16S ribosomal RNA
Rfam family: Bacterial small subunit ribosomal RNA
Source: RNAcentral
AGUGAACGCUGGCGGUAGGCCUAACACAUGCCAGUCGAACGGCAGCACAGUAAGAGCUUGCUCUUACGGGUGGCGAGUGGCGGACGGGUGAGGAAUACAUCGGAAUCUACUUUUUCGUGGGGGAUAACGUAGGGAAACUUACGCUAAUACCGCAUACGACCUACGGGUGAAAGCAGGGGAUCUUCGGACCUUGCGCGAUUGAAUGAGCCGAUGUCGGAUUAGCUAGUUGGCGGGGUAAAGGCCCACCAAGGCGACGAUCCGUAGCUGGUCUGAGAGGAUGAUCAGCCACACUGGAACUGAGACACGGUCCAGACUCCUACGGGAGGCAGCAGUGGGGAAUAUUGGACAAUGGGCGCAAGCCUGAUCCAGCCAUACCGCGUGGGUGAAGAAGGCCUUAGGGUUGUAAAGCCCUUUUGUUGGGAAAGAAAAGCAGCAGGUUAAUACCCCGCUGUUCUGACGGUACCCAAAGAAUAAGCACCGGCUAACUUCGUG